UGGGGAAUAUUGGACAAUGGACCGAGAGUCUGAUCCAGCAAUUCUGUGUGCACGAUGAAGUUUUUCGGAAUGUAAAGUGCUUUCAGUUGGGAAGAAAGAAAUGACGGUACCAACAGAAGAAGUGACGGCUAAAUACGUGCCAGCAGCCGCGGUAAUACGUAUGUCACGAGCGUUAUCCGGAUUUAUUGGGCGUAAAGCGCGUCUAGGUGGUUAUGUAAGUCUGAUGUGAAAAUGCAGGGCUCAACUCUGUAUUGCGUUGGAAACUGUAUAACUAGAGUACUGGAGAGGUAAGCGGAACUACAAUUGUAGAGGUGAAAUUCGUAGAUAUUUGUAGGAAUGCCGAUGGGGAAGCCAGCUUACUGGACAGAUACUGACGCUAAAGCGCGAAAGCGUGGGUAGCAAACAGG
Molecule: ribosomal RNA, 407 nt
Filed under: bacterium
Lineage: Bacteria
Description: partial 16S ribosomal RNA
Rfam family: Bacterial small subunit ribosomal RNA
Source: RNAcentral